GGUGAACACGGAGCUUGCUCUGUGGGAUCAGUGGCGAACGGGUGAGUAACACGUGAGCAACCUGCCCCUGACUCUGGGAUAAGCGCUGGAAACGGCGUCUAAUACUGGAUAUGUGACGUGACCGCAUGGUCUGCGUUUGGAAAGAUUUUUCGGUUGGGGAUGGGCUCGCGGCCUAUCAGCUUGUUGGUGAGGUAAUGGCUCACCAAGGCGUCGACGGGUAGCCGGCCUGAGAGGGUGACCGGCCACACUGGGACUGAGACACGGCCCAGACUCCUACGGGAGGCAGCAGUGGGGAAUAUUGCACAAUGGGCGGAAGCCUGAUGCAGCAACGCCGCGUGAGGGAUGACGGCCUUCGGGUUGUAAACCUCUUUUAGCAGGGAAGAAGCGAAAGUGACGGUACCUGCAGAAAAAGCGCCGGCUAACUACGUGCCAGCAGCCGCGGUAAUACGUAGGGCGCAAGCGUUAUCCGGAAUUAUUGGGCGUAAAGACCCCCGUAGGCGGUUUGUCGCGUCUGCUGUGAAAUCCCGAGGCUCAACCUCGGGCCUGCAGUGGGUACGGGCAGACUAGAGUGCGGUAGGGGAGAUUGGAAUUCCUGGUGUAGCGGUGGAAUGCGCAGAUAUCAGGAGGAACACCGAUGGCGAAGGCAGAUCUCUGGGCCGUAACUGACGCUGAGGAGCGAAAGGGUGGGGAGCAAACAGGCUUAGAUACCCUGGGUAGUCCACCCCGUAAACGUUGGGGAACUAGUUGUGGGGGUCCAUUCCACGGGAUUCC
RNAcentral lists this ribosomal RNA (771 nucleotides) under Brevibacillus agri. RNAcentral's name for it is "bacterial SSU rRNA". It matches the Rfam family "Bacterial small subunit ribosomal RNA", at positions 68 to 842 of the family's 1533-position model. Lineage: Bacteria; Bacillati; Bacillota; Bacilli; Caryophanales; Paenibacillaceae. The record is from RNAcentral.